This 14087-nucleotide long non-coding RNA is filed under the name Musa acuminata (dwarf banana). RNAcentral describes it as "long non-coding RNA (MACU_LNC006817)". Lineage: Eukaryota; Viridiplantae; Streptophyta; Magnoliopsida; Zingiberales; Musaceae. The record is from RNAcentral.
AGAGAGAGAGAGAGAGAGAGAUGAGUUCAAGUUCUCAGUUUGCUGCGCCGUCCGGUGCCAUCGUCGGCCCACAGUUCUGCGUUCCGUAUCGGAUCGACCUCACGUUCUUCAUCGAUGCCGCCAAGUGUGACCACCUCACAGAGACCGACAUCAACGGCAACGUCGUCUUCAAGGUCGAAGCCCAUAAGUGGAGCCUCAGAAACAGGCAGGUGGUCGUCGACGCCUCCGGCAAGCCUGUGAUUUCGAUGCAGCAGAAGGUCCACAUCCUCAUCUCUGCUUCGCUUCCUUCUUUCUGCAAAGUCCAAGACGUUGACUCUGGUCGUUCUGUCAUGCAGCUGAGCAGCAUCCAUGACCGGUGGCAAGUCUUCAAGGGAAAUAGCUCAGAUCCUAAGCAUAUGCUGUUUAGCGUCAAGAGGAGUUCUGCACUCCAAUUCAAGACCGAGUUGGACGUGUUCUUAGCUGCCAACACCGAGGAGGAGGUGUGUGACUUCCUUCUCGUGUCUCCCACACAUCCAACUUCUCGUGUCUCCCACACAUCCAACUUUGGCUGUUCCGUCAUGCAGCUGCGUAGCGUCAAUGACCGGUGGCAGGUCUUCAAGGGAGAUAGCUCUGAUCCUAAAUAUCUGCUGUUUAGCGUCAAGAGGAGUUCUUCUCCCCAAGUCAAGACCGUGUUGGAUGUGUUCUUAGCUGCCAACAUCAAGGAAGAAAUCGUAAGAUGAUAAUAGAGACACUUCAACAACUAAAUUCUCAGAACUUAUAUAUAUAUUAUUCAAUAAAAUAUUAUUCUCUGAUUAUAAAAAGAUAAAUUCAAUACUUUGACUCGAUAGUAACUCCUCUCUUGAUUAAGACUUUUAAACUAAGAUCCUAUCUAAUCGCAAAGCUUGAUUUAAUAUUUGAAUAUAUUCUCUUAGAUUAAAGUUUGUAAAAAAUUUUAUGAAAAGCCUUAAAACUUGAUGCAAUCUUAUGUUGUUGCUAUGCGUAAUGGUUUUUAGAAUAUCUAAAUUCUUAACCAUGUAUUCCAUAAUAGUUUUUGAUGUGCUCGAUUUAUUCUAUCUUACCUGUUCUAAUCAAUUGUAAAACUUUGAUUUGUUUGGAAUCUUAGCUUUCUUGAACCAAUCCCUAGAUAUAAAAUCAAACAUAAAUAUCAGACUUUUUUCGUUAUAGAAUAUUUAUCAGAUUUUAUAAUUUUUUUUAUUUUGAUCAACAACUUAUUUUGAUAGGUUAACGAUCAACUUUCUAAAAUUUUCUUUUUCUAUAGAGAGGUAAAAUAUAUUUAUGUUUUUGAUGGAAAUUAAAUUAUCUAAUCCAACAUAAUCAUCUACUUCAAUAAAAUUAAUAUUAUGCAUAUGGUAGAUUGUAUUUUGUACAAUCUAAACGUCUUGUAUCUUAGUAAGAAUGUAAUUGAAAAAUCUAUCAUAUACGAUGAGUUAUCUUCAUUAAAAUUUUCUAUUAAGAUAUUUUCAUUUUCUUCUACUUAUAUAUCAUGUAUUUUUUUUUUUUACUUCAAACAAUAUAGAAGGAUAUAUACCUCUUUUAUAAAUAUCUUUUAAAAUUAAUGAGACUUCUGUCUUAAUUCUAUAGAUUCUUAAAAUAAGAUUUUCAUCUAGUAUUAAACGUGAGAUCAGCUUUAGUACUCUUUUAUCAUCUAUUAUUUUUCGGAGAGUAAUACACAAUCUAUAUCAUUUAUCAUAUUUUUACAAAAAGUAAUAAAAAAUUUAUAUAAUUUAUUAUAGUUUUAAAUAAUCGAAGAUAAUUUUUUUUAAACUUUCUGAGACGAGAAAAUAAUAAUGAGAUCUAAAAUAACAUAUAAAAGUCAUUAUCCAUACCUUCAAUCUUUUCUUUUGUAUGCGAAUUAAUUUUUCUAUUGACUGUCUUUAUCCUAUUAUAAUCUAAUUUAUCGAUUGCGUUUUUUAUUAUCUCCUCCUAUUUUAUAAUUGUCAGAUCUACUUCUCGGCUACAUUGUUAUUGAUUCUUAACUAUAUUAUCUUAAGAUCUAAUUUCUCUUUCUAAUAAUUUAUUUGUUUUUUUCUAGAAUUUUCUAUCUCCUUAGACUUUCUAUAUCUAUUAUUUCUCUCUCUUAUGAUUUUCUCUAUACAACUAUUUAUCUCUCUAAUAUAUUUAUUUUCUCCCCGUAACAAAUCUAGUUCUCUCUCUAAUGAGACCUUAUUUAAGGCUCUAAUUGUUGAAUCUCAGAUUUUGAUAAUAAAAUCAAUUGGUAGAGUUUAUAAUCUAAUUUAUGUUUUGAGUAACGCAAAACUAGCUUAGAUAACGAAGAGACAAUUAAGAAUUAAUUUUGAGCCACAGUGGAACAUGCCAAAAGAUUAGACGUUAAACCGGAGGAUCAGUCAAUGUGUCGAUAGAAGGCUUCGUGCCAUGAGUUCUGGUAUCAGACCUAGAAGAGCGGAAAUUGGGCCAAAGAGAUCGAAGUUGCAGAGGUCAACAUAUCGAUUGAUCAAAAAGCCACGAAAGAGGACGAUGUGCCAAAGGAUUAGACAAAGCGCCGAUGAACCAAUGACAUGUCGGACAACAUGUGAUUAAUGCUUUGUAAUAAUUGUCUAGAUCGAAGUAAUUUUAAGUUGUAAUUGGGUUGGAAUUAGGCCAACUCAAUUAGGGGCCCAUUGGGCUUAAGUUAGAAUUAAAUUGGGCUUGAUGGAUGGCUCACUCGGCCACUUAGAGUCAUGCUAAGCGGUGGCACCGCCCACGUUGGGUAGUGGAACUGCUUGAGGCUCAACCUCCCAGCGGUACUGUCGGUAGUUAAUGUUGCAAAGCAAUGGUACCACUAGAGGCUAGUCUCGAAAGCUCUGUCAUGUGGUGGUUCCGCCUAGUAUCUACUAGGCGGUGGGUAUCAUGAAGACCUAGGAUGAGACUAGUUUUGGCUCCAAGUUUGAAUCCAUUUGGGACCUAUAAAUACCUCUCUCAUCCUUGCUCAGAAUACUCAACUCAAGAAUUGAGAACAAAAACAAGGAAAAACUCUAUUGUAAUAUUGUGAGAGUUCUCCUUCUCUAGUCUAAGUGUUGAUUUCUAUUUAAGAGAGGAGUGAAUGAGGGUGUAAAGGUUUUCUAUUGAGCUUGUAAAAAGGAGAAUAGAGUUGUCAAAAGGAGAAUAGAGCUUGUCAUCCCCCAUCGAAGGAAGACCAUUAGUGGAUGCCGGUAGCCUUGACGGAAAAGAAAUCGGUAGUGGAUGUAGGUCACGACGACCGAACCACUAUAAAUUGGUGUGCUUUCUUUCUUCGCUGCCAUUUACUUAGUUUGCAAUUGCUUUACUUCCUCUUAUGAACGUUUUUAAAGUUAAACACUUUUUAAUAUGGUUUUAUCGUACGAAGUUUCGAAUUAUCGACGUAAUUUUAUGUACGCACUAAUUCACCCACUCUCUUAGUGCCAACUCGAUCAUAACACUAAUGCCUUAUUGAAAAAUCUCUUCAUGAGAUGAUUGGCAUCAAUAAAUCAUAUGGUAUAAUAGAAAAAAAAAAUAAAAAUAUUUUAAAAAUUAAAAACUCAUAUUAAACAUGUUAACUUAUAAUCUCUCGAACCUUGAAUAUAAUCAAGACACUUCUACCUCAUCACUUCUCUCAUUGUUGUUAAAUCAUUAUAUGAACCCUUUGUUAAUAGAAGGAUAAUUCAAAACUAUGAUAUGUACUUCGUAAGGCUUGAAGGUUCAUGAAAGACUUGGGUUGCAGUUCUUUUCAUCUUCCUCCUUUUGGGUUGUUGUGGAUUGGCCACAAAUUGCGAUGUCAGAACAAACAUGGUUGUAGUUCUUUUAUCCUCCCUCUGCAGUAUUAAAGGCUAAGCAAUGGACUCUCUGACAUGCACUGUCGACAUUACCAAUCAUUAUUAUGUAAAGCAGGAGGUAGGUAAAAGUCGUCCAAGGAUCCAUCAAACAUUAUUUUCUUACAACAUAAGACUUGCACCGUUGACGACACUAUCUGCUGAAUGCCACAAGCAAUUUGCCAUACAGCUGCAUGACAUGGUUCUUGCAAACAAGCAUGACAAGAUUCCCACGUACUUGAGUUUACAGAACCAGACCACAGGACAUAAACCAUCCCGACCUCGAGAAGGGAUGCAGGAGGCACACGGAGGGCCACAUCAGGCCAGGUGGUGGUGGUGGUGGCGGUGGUGGUGCAGCAGGGGGGAGGUGCCAACACGAUGCUCCAGUUCCACACCGACGAUGCUACGGGGGCCAAGAUGUCUCUCCCAAUACUCUUCUCUUUAUGAGCAUCGGAUUCAUUGCUGUUGUUGCUCUUCUGCAUUGUCGUCGGUAAACUCUAUUUUGUUCCUCACUAGACCUCUAUUUUGAUAUCCUUAAAGGUGCACGCACUCUUGAUUUGAGCAAAACAUAGACUGGUAGGCAAUGUGACAAAUUUAUUAUCAGAAUCUGCAGCAUUUUCGUUCUAUAAUUGACAUUACAUGCAGCAUACUUAUUAUUUUCAAGUCAGUCCAACCUUCUGUUAGUGUUGAAUUUGUUUGUGCUUGUCAUCAGAAUGUUGAAUAUUAUUGUGAAUGAAGUAAGCCAUUGAAUUGUGAUGAGGGCGACGAGGGGGAACUAUGAAUUGUUUUUUAUAGUAAGUGAUAGAAGAUAAGAUUUUCCCAACUUGAUAGAAGAUAAGAUUUUCCCAACUUGAUAGAAGAUAAGAUUUCCUCAAUUAUAUGAGGAAAUCCUUCCUCCUAUCUGUAAGAGAGAACAUGUUAAUAUAUUCAAGCUAAAGUAAGCGAAGCUUCGCUCUUGUCUUUGGCCAGCGACCAACGCCGUUGAGAAAAGUGAAGCUUCGCCAACAAUCACUCACGAAGCCUCUCGCUUUAAACCAUGCAUCAAUCCAAGAUUAGAUUUGUAUCCUUGUCAAACUUGAUAGAAGAUAAGAUUUCUUCAUUUUUACAAUAAAGCUUCUUCAAUUAUUGUUAUUAUCUUCUAUUGACCGAGAAACACGGUUUGACCAUGGAUCCACUCGCCCACCGAAAGAUAAUUCCACUUGCAACCACAUAUGUCGAUUCAUUUGUACGCCAACAACACAACGACUGAAACGAGAGUGAGAGAGAGAGAGAGAGAUGGGUUUAUUAAUUUCUAAGUUUGCUGCCCCGUCCGGCGCCAUCGUCGACCCGCGGUUCUGCGCGUCGUACCCGAUCGACCUCACGUUCUUCAUCGACGCCGCCUGGUUGAACUGUGACCACCUCGCGGUGACCGACAUCAACGGCAACGUCGUCUUCAAGGUCGAAGCCCAUAAGUGGAGCCUCAGAAACAGGCAGGUGGUCGUCGACGCCUCCGGCAAGCCUGUGAUUUCGAUGCAGCAGAAGGUCCACCUCCUCAUCUCUGCUUCGCCUCCUUCUUUCUGCAAAGUCCAAGACGUUGACUCUGGUUGUUCUGUCAUGCAGCUGAGCAGCAUCCAUGACCGGUGGCUAGUCUUCAAGGGAAAUAGCUCAGAUCCUAAGCAUCUGCUGUUUAGCGUCAGGAGGAGUUCUGCUUUCCAAUUCAAGACCGAGUUGGACGUGUUCUUAGCUGCCAACAAGGAGGAGGAGGUGUGUGACUUCAAGAUCAAGGGAAGCUUCCGCAACAGAUCAUGCACUGUGUACAAGGGCGACUAUUCCAUGGUGAUCGCGCAGGUACUUACCUUCUCCAGAAUAAACUGUACAGCACACGGAUCUCAGCAGCUUUAGAUUUAGAUCAAAGCAUUGAUUGCAAGUUUUAUGUGGAGUUGAAUGGUUAGAAUUGUGUGAUAUGUGUUGAGAAGAAACAUGUUAAAGCGGAAUAAUUCUUUCCCUCUUUGUGUAUUAAAAUAGGCUCUUCAUCAAAAUACUAACUUAAUAUCCAAAUGAAAAUAUCAACCAGCACAGCAUAAACAAUAGAGCAAAACUCAAUCACACAGUGAGACCAAAUCUUUUUAACAUGAAAAACUCAAUAUGGGAAAAACCACGAGAUCGUAGUCCACCUCAAACUUCCAUUAUCAAUAAUAAUGAUAACAGGUUUACAAUAGGUAUUCUCUAGAAUAACUAGAGGAUCAGAAUAACAUCAAGAUCAUAGAUCUUGGCUCAAGAACAACAUAUCUUCAUCAUGUAGAUGGAUCUCCUCAAAAGAGAAUUCUAGGUCUCACAAAGUAGAUAUCAUAGGAAAGUACCUUAGAGAGGGUAAACUGUAGAUCAAUACCGUUAGGAUUGUAGAGUUUGCUACAAGGAUUCUCCACAUAAAAUUUGGGUCAAAACUGACAACGUUUGGCCACCGAUCGUCAAGCAGAAAACUCAUAAACCUAAUCUUUCUCUCUCUCUCUCUCCUCUUUCCUCUGCACGUCGCCGCACGCUCACUGUCCAUCCGCACGCUCACUGUCCAUCCGCACGUUCACUGUCCAUCCGCACGCUCACUGUGCAAUCUCACAGCGCACACUGCAAUCUCUGUCAUCACCCAAUUUUGCUCUUUCUCUCUUUCUCUAAUUUGGGCUCGAACAACCCAAUUUGUCCAAGCUCACAUAUGGGCUGUACCCAACAAUUCUCCCCCUCCAGCUCAUAUGGUGGGCUGUACCAAGCCCGCUCUUCGCCUACAUGCUUCAAGCUUCUCCUUAAGCAAAGACUUUGUCAAUAUAUCUGAACCAUUCUCAUCGGUAUGCACCUUUUCCAACUGUAUUUCUUUCAUCUCAAGCACAUCAUGAAUCCAGUGAUAUCUCACAUCAAUAUGCUUGGAUCUCGAUUGGUAUGUUGAAUUCUUGGAGAGGUGAAUGACGCUCUGACUGUCACACUAAACAGUAUAUCCUUCCUGUUUCAAGCCCAAUUCCUGUAGAAACUUUUUCAUCCAUAAAGCUUCCUUGCAGGCUUCAGUAACUACUAUGUAUUCUGCUUCUGUGGUUGAUAGAGCAACACACUUCUGUAACUUAGACUGCCAAGAGACUGCUCCUCCUGCAAAUGUCAUCAAGAAUCCUGAAGUGGACUUCUUGGAAUCAGUAUCACCUGCCAUGUCUACAUCUGUGUAGCCUUCUAACACAGGUUCAUCACUGCCAAAAUAUAAACACAACCUGGAAGUACCUCUUAGAUAUCUUAAUAUCCAUUUCACUGCUGCCCAAUGUUCCUUUCCAGGAUUAGAGAGAAAUCGGCUGACAACUCCAACUGCAUGAGCUAUAUCUGGCCUAGUACAAACCAUAGCAUACAUCAAACUGCCUACUGCAGAUGAGUAAGGCACUCUGGACAUUUCUUCUUUUUCUUUCUCACUUGUAGGACAUUGUUUCGAACUAAGCUUGAAAUGACCUGUAAGUGGGGAACAAACUGCUUUGGCUUUACUUAUGUUGAAUCUUUCAAGAACCUUUUCAAUGUAAGUCUCCUGAGAUAGCCAAAUCUUCCUUUUCUUCCUAUCACGAAGAAUCUUCAUGCCAAGUAUUUGUUUCACCGAUCCUAAGUCUUUCAUGGCAAAAGACUUACUUAACUCUCUUUUAAGCUUUCCAAUUUUUCCAACAUUAUGGCCAACAAUCAACAUAUCAUCAACAUAUAGCAGUAAAAUAAUAAAAUCAUCAUCUGAAAAUUUCUUCAUAAACACACAAUGAUCAGAUGUGGUUCUAUCGUACCUUUGACUCAUCAUAAAGGAAUCAAACUUCUUAUACUACUGUCUAGGUGCCUGUUUGAGUCCAUAUAAGCUUUUCUGUACAGCACACGGAUCUCAGCAGCUUUAGAUUUAUUUCAAAGCAUUGAUUGCAAGUUUUAUGUGGAGUUGAAUUGUAAGAAUUGUGUGAUAUGGCGAUGCAGAUGAGCAAAGAAUACAAAUUAGUGAAUGGAUUGGUAUCCAAGGAUGCUUUCGGGGUGGCCGUCAACCCAAACACCGACUACUCCUUCAUUACUGCUCUGACCAUCAUUCGAUAUAAGUUCUUUAAAAAAGACACUGGAAUCUCUGAUGUAAUCUCUGAUGUAAUCUCUGUUGUAAGCUCAAAUGGAAUCUCAACUGCACUCAUAUCUGCAAUCUCAGCUGCACUAGGUGGAUCCUAAUUCUCCAUGCCUGCUAGUAUAACAGCGAGUGACUUCCUCUGCAGCAUGAAACCACAGAUGGAUACUUGGUGAAGACUUGGAUGUUCAUGGGAGACUUGGGUUGUAGUACUUAAUCUUAUGUUCCUCCUUUUGUGUUAUCGUGGGAUGGCUAUAUAUGUAUGAAAGAUUAUAGUUUGUAAGAUUAUAGUAGUUUGCACCGCAGCUGAACCUGUUUAGAGAUCAUAUAUAUGUAUAACAGGGAAGUGAAAGUGAGGUGGAUAUUGGGUCUCUUCUCAGCCCUAUGCACUGUUUAGAGAUCAUACAUAAAGCUUGUUUGAAGAGCUCACUGCCACUUCUUUCAAGCAUUGAAGAUUCAUGUUUCCUGAUCUUUUCGGUGUUCUGUUUAUCCUUUUUGUUAUUAGGAGAUUUAUGUGUAUCUUUUGAUUAGGAAUCUCAACUAAAUAUUAUAGCUGAUCAUGCUUUUUCAGUGGACAAAAGAAAAUGAAAGCUACUUGACAUCGUCAAGACUGAAGAAGGACCCCUUUCUUUGUUUUGUGCCUCAGAUUUAUUAGGCUUGUCUGCUUGCACUGACCCACUCUCUGAAGAGGUCUUUGAGAGAUGACGGGCUAAUUUUCUAUUGCCUCCUCACUUGAGUUUGUGUCUCAUGUCAUCUAUUUGCGUCAUACCUUCAACAAAUACUUGAAACGAUCCACUUGAUCUUUAUCCACCAAUUCAGCUGUAAGAGAGAGAGAGAGAUAAGAUGAUGCAAUCGAGUAGUCGGACUUCUCGGCCCGACGCCAUCGUCGACACGCGGUUCUGCGCUUCGUACCCGAUCGACCUCACGUUCUUCAUCGGCGCCUCCUGGUUGAACUGUGACCGCCUCGCCGUGACCGACACCAACGGCAACGUCGUCUUCAAGGUUGUAGUCCGCAAGCGGAGCCUCAGAAGCUGGCAUGUAGUCGUCGACGCUUCCGGCAAGCCUGUGAUCUCGAUGCGGGAGAAGGUCCACCUUCUCACGUCUGCCACACAUCCAACUUUGGCUGUUCCGUCAUGCAGCUGCGUAGCGUGCAUGACCGGUGGCAGGUCUUCAAGGGAGAUAGCUCUGAUCCUAAAUAUCUGCUUUUUAGCGUCAAGAGGAGUUCUUCUCUCCAAGUCAACACCGUGUUGGAUGUGUUCUUAGCUGCCAACAUCAAGGAAGAAAUCGUAAGAUGAUAAUAGACACUUCAACAACUAUAUUCUCAAACCUCAUCCUCAUAUAUAUAAAUAUAAAUAUAAAUAUAUAUAUAUAUAUAAUAAAUAUUCCCAUUUGAAUUUAUAAUAAAAUAUUAUUCUGUUAUUAUAAAAAGAUAAAUUCAAUACUUUGACUCGAUAGUAACUCCUCUCUUGAUUAAGACUUUUAAACUAAGAUCCUAUCUAAUCGCAAAGCUUGAUUUAAUAUUUGAAUAUAUUCUCUUAAAUUAAAGUUUGUAAAAAAAAAUUAUGAAAAGCCUUAAACUUGAUGCAAUCUUAUGUUGUUGCUAUGCGUAAUGUUUUUUAGAAUCUUUAAAUUCUUAACCAUGUAUUCCAUAAUGGUUUUUGAUGUGCUCGAUUUAUUCUAUCUUAUCUGUUCUAAUCAAUUAUAAAACUUCUAUUUGUUUGGAAUCUUAACUUUCUUGAACCAAUCCCUAAAUAUGAAAUCACUCAUAAAUAUCAGACUUUUUUUUGUUAUAGAAUAUUUAUCAGAUUUUAUAUUUUUUUAUUUUGAUCAACAACUUAUUUUGAUAGGUUAACGAUCAACUUUCUAAAAUUUUCUUUUCCUAUAUAGAGGUAUGUUAGGAUCGGAGCUGCACUAAGGGGGGGGUGAAUUAGUGCAGCGAAUUAAAACUUGUAAGUUCAAAAAUGGUUCCGUAAAAUGCAAAGAGAUUUCACUUUGAUUGUAACUUGAGUAAAGGAAAAAAAUCGGAAAUGAUUGCAGAAAGAUAAGUAAUCACAAAUUAAAUGAACACGUCAAUUUAAAGUGGUUCGGUCAAAUGAUCUACAUCCACUUGCGAAGCCUUCUUCAACGAGGCUCUCAACUUUCACUAGCAAAUCACUUUGAAGGAGAAGGACUAAUACCCCUCUUACAACCUUUACAAGUGGUUCACACUCUUACAAUUUUUUCAACAAGAAGGAAGGAGGUGAACACUCAAGCAAUUUGAAAACAAGACUUGCUAAGACUUUGCUAAGGCUCUUAUCUUAAACUAUUGCUUUGCAAAAGUUGUAUACUCUGCUGAGAAUUGAGGGGUAUUUAUAGGCUCCAAGAGGAUUCAAAUUUGGGCUCCAAAUUUUGAAUUAUCUUGGGUUUCCGAGACUGACGGUACCACCGCCUGUCAAUGUCUGUCAGACGGUGUACUGGCGGUGCCACCGCCUGAUCUCAGGUGCUGGGCGGUGCCACCGCCUGGUCUGGCGAUGCCACCGCCUGACACUUCGGGCUCUGGGCGGUGCCACCACCCAAUCCGACGGUUCCAUCGCCCAUCCUUACUGAUCUCUGGUUAGGCUUCAAGUCCAUCCCAAACCAGGUCACUUUUGGGCCCAAUUGGCCCUUAACAAGGAUAUAGGAUUAUCCUUUAAUCCUAACCCUAAUUACAUGUGAACUACGUACCUAAAAACAUAAUCCUAAGCAAGUUUUUAACCGGCAAACGUCGAGUCUUGUUCCAGUGAGCUUUUCGACGAUCUUCCGGCGGACUUCCGAUACGCUCUCUGGUUUCUUCCGACGGACUCCCAGCAGGCUCCCGAUCUUGUGACGAAUUCAACGAGUAGCCGAGCCUUCUCGGUGAUCUCUGCGAACUUCUGACAAUCUCUUCGGCAUACUUCUGAAAGUUUCGACAUGUCUCCGAUCUUUCUUGGUUGGUUCCCACAUCAUCUCCGAUGAAACUUCGGACUCUCAAACAUCCAUGGAACUUGACUCCAGUAUCCUUGCUUUAUGUUUUUAGGCUAUCGUAGUUAAUCCUACACACUUAACUUCAAUAUUAUGGAUUAGAUCAAUUAACCCAUCAAUUGAUUUCAUCAUCAAAAUUCGAGAUUCUACGAGGUAAAAUAUAUUUAUGUUUCUGAUGGAAAUUAAAUAAUCAAAUCCAACAUAAUCAUCUACUCCAAUAAAAUUAAUAUUAUGCAUAUGGUAGAUUGUAUUUUGUACAAUCACAACGUAGGAAUGUUAUUGAAAAAUCUAUCAUAUCUGAUGAGGUAUCUUCAUUAACUUUUUCUAUUAAGAUAUUUUCAUUUUCUUCUACCUAUAUAUCAUGUUUUUUUUUUUUUACUUCAAACAACAUAGAAGGAUAUAUACCUCUUUUAUAAAUAUCUUUUAAAAUUAAUGAGACUUCUGUCUUAAUUCUAUAGAUUCAUGAAAUAAUAUUUUCAUCUAGUAUUCAUAAAUUAGUACUCCUUUAUCAUCUAUUAUUCUUCGGAGAGUAAUACAAAAUCUAUAUCGUUUAUCAUAUUUUUAUAAAGAGUAAUAAAAGUUUUAUAUAUUUUAUUAUAUUUUUUUAAUAAUCGAAGAUAAAUUUCAUUUAAACUUUUUGAUAUGAGAGAAAUAAUAACGAGAUCUAAAAUAACAAAUAAAAGUCAUUAUCCAGACCUUCAAUCUUCUCUUUUGUAUGCAAAUUAUUUUUUCUAUUGAACAUCUCUAUCAUAUUAUAAUCUAAUUUAUCCAUUGCAUUUUGAUUAUCUCCUCUAAUUGUCGGAUCUACUUCUCGUUGAUAUUCUAAUUAAUUCUUAAUUAUAUUAUCUUAAGAUCUGAUUUCUUUUUCUAAUAAUUUAUUUCUCUUCCGUUUCUUCCUAGGGUUUUCUCUCUCCUUAGACUUUCUAUCUCUAUUAUUUCUCUCUCCUAUGAUUUUCUCUAUAUAAUUAUUUAUCUCUCUAAUAGACUUAUUUUCUCUCUCUAAGAGGUCUAAUUCUCUCUCUAGUGAGAUAUUGAUUAAGGUUCUAAUUUUUGAAUCUGAUGAUGAAACCAAUUAAUAUAGUUUAUGAUCUAAUAUAUGUUUUGAGUAACACAGGACUAGCUUCGAUCAUAAAGAAAUAAUUAAAGUAAGAAAAUUUAAUGUUGAGCCGGAGUGGAACAUAUCAGAAGAUUGGACGUCAAACCGGAGGAUCGGUCAAUGUGUUGGCAGAAGGCUUUGUGCCAUGAGUAAUCGAGCCUAGAAGAGCAGACAUUGCACUAAGGAGAUCGGAGUUGCGGAGGUCAACAUGUCGAUUGGGCAAGAGGCCGCAAAAGAGAACGAUGUGCCAAAGGAUUUGACGAAACGCCGAUAAACCAAUGAUAUACCGGAUAAUAUGUGAUUAAUCCUUUAUAAUAAUUGUCUAGCUUGAAGUAGUUUAAGUUGUAAUUGGAUCGCCAACUCAAUUAAUAAUCCCUCAAAUCUCGAAUAUGUAAACAUGAUCAAGACUCUAUCUUAUUUCUUCUCUCAAUGUAGUCUAACCAUUCGUUAAUAGAAGGAUAAUUCAAAACUAUGAUAUGUACUUGGUAAGACUUUUAAGCCAAAAUCCCAUCUAAUCACAUAAUUUUCUCGCCUUUAGAUUUGGAUCAAAGCUUACGGUUCUUCCAACAUUCGAUUACAUGAAAUGGAACUUAGUGAUAUUGGCAUUCACUUCUGGAUGCAAAAAAGGCUUGUGGAAGAUAGGUGGUCUAGUUCAAUAUAUAAUCAUUUUUAUGCUGAAAUCAUGUUUGAUAUCAGUCGAUCCGAAAGGCCACUCUGUUAAUGUGAGGAAUUAAGGUAGGUUUGGCUUAGAAACCAUUGCAAGUUGAUAGAAUUGUGUGACAUGUCAAUGCAGAUGAGCAAAGAAUACAAAUUAGUGAACAGCUCAGUAUCCAAGGAUGCUUUCGGGGUGGCCGUCAACCCAAACACCGACUUCUCCUUCAUUACUGCUCUGGCCAUAAUUCGACAUGAGUUCUUUAAAGUAGACGCUGUAACCUCUGAUGAAAUCUCAUUUGCAAUCUCAGCUGCAGUAGGUGGAUCCUAAUUCUCCAAGCCUGCUAGUAUAACAACGAGUGACUUCCUCUGCAGCAUGAAACCACAGAUGGAUACUUGGUGAAGACUUGGAUGUUCAUGGAAGACUUUGGUUGUAGUACUUAAUCUUAUGUUCCUCCUUUUGUGUUAUUGUGGGUUGGCUAUAUAUGUAAGAAUUGAUAUUUAUUGCACCGCAGCUGAACCUGUUCAGAGAUCAGGAAAGUAAAAGUGAGGUGGAUAUUGGGUCUCUUCUCAGCCCUAUGCACUGUCUAGAGAUCAUACAUGAAGCUUGUUUGAAGAGCUCACUGCCACUUCUUUCAAGCAUUGAAGAUUCAUGUUUCCUGAUCUUUUCAGUGUUCAGUUUAUCCUUUUUGUUAUUAGGAGAUCUAUGCGUUUCUUUUGAUUAGGAAUCUCAACUAAAUAUUAUAGCUGAUCAUGCUUUUUCAGUGGACUAAUUCCACCUUUCCCCCUAAAGAAAACGAAAGCUAAUUGACAUCGUCAACACUGAAGAAGAACCUCAGAUUUAUUAGGUUUGUCUGCUUGCACUGAUGCACUCUCUGAAGCGGUCUUUGAGAGAUGAUGGGCUACUUUUCUUUUGCCUCCUCACUGGAGCUUGUGGCUCAUAUCAUCUAUUGCGUCAUCUUAAACAAAUACUUGACUCGAUCCAGUCUUCCGCUUGAUCUUUAUCCUCCAAUUCGGCUGUCAGAGAGAGAGAGAGAGAAGAUGGGGGACUCGAGAAGUCGGAUUUCUCGGCCCGACGCCAUCGUCGACCCGCGGUUCUGCGCGUCGUACCCGAUCGACCUCACGUUCUUCAUCGACGCCGCCUGGUUGAAUUGUGACCACCUCGCGGUGACCGACAUCAACGGCAACGUCGUCUUCAAGGUCGAAGCCCGUAAGUGGAACCUCAGAAACAGGCAGGUGGUCGUCGACGCCUCCGGCAAGCCUGUGAUUUCGAUGCAGCAGAAGGUCCACCUCCUCAUCUCUGCUUCGCUUCCUUCUUUCUGCAAAGUCCAAGACUUUGACUCUGGUUGUUCUGUCAUGCAGCUGCGUAGCGUCCAUGACCGGUGGCAGGUCUUCAAGGGAGAUAGCUCGGAUCCUAAAGACCUGCUAUUUAGCGUCAGGAGGAGUUCUGCUCUCCAAUUCAAGACCGAGUUGGACGUGUUCUUAGCUGCCAACACGGAGGAGGAGGUGUGUGACUUCA